Molecule: long non-coding RNA, 3557 nt
Organism: Suricata suricatta (meerkat)
Lineage: Eukaryota; Metazoa; Chordata; Mammalia; Carnivora; Herpestidae
Source: Ensembl
ACUAGCACAGGAAUCCGCCGGGAAAACUGAACUUGAUCCCUUUCACGCGCCCCUGUUCACUCGGACGCGCAGGAAAUUUACGUCAUCAAUACUCGGCGGCUGAAGGUGGGAAAGCCAAGGCUCGUGCGGUCGCUAGUGCGCAAGCUCGAAGCAAAGUUGGCCCCCGCGGAGCUGGCUAGCGAGUUUAAGCAGCAUCUCCAGGCAAACACUGGCUCAUUUGAAGCUUUGACCUUCAAGAUUUCAAAGGAAGGAGCUGAGAUAUGCUUUUUCCUUGAUUUAUGUCGUCUCGAGUUCUGGAGUCAAGCUGCUGCCCAGCGUUGGUGCCCUGAAGACCUCAACUGCAGUUCCAGCUGGUGUUGGGAAACCCUUCACGGAGGGGACCUGAACAACCUGAGAUGGACGUUUUCUGCCAAUGCAGUGCCACUGGAGUCCAGAGGUGUAAACCAGCCCUGACUCUUGCAGAGAGGAGAUUUUGGCGAAUACAGGGUGAGGAGUUUGCUGCCAUCCCAGGAUUAAUCUGGGUUGUGGCUCUACUGACUUUGUUUGAAAAGACAUGAAAGUACAUGAAAGGAAUAGUUACUUUUCUAGCCUGUGCCCAGGAUAUGCCCUCCUUGUAAUCCAAUUAUUAGUUACUCCAUUGGCAUUUGUCUAGGCCAAACAAACAAACAAACAACUAUCUAUUCCUGUUACGCAAUCACUGCCUGCCUGGAACGUGGCCCUGAACUCUGGGGAUUCAGCUUCCUCACGUUUGCUCUCAGAACUUGCUGCUGUUGACCUCCUGCCUCACACCUUGCUUGGUGAGGCACUCUGCGUUUGGAACUUUGACACCCGUACUCCAACUGCCUUUUUCUAUUCAUUUAUUCAACCAUCAUUUUUCCAAAACUCAACAAAAACUGAUCUGCUGAAUUAAAACUACUUCUGAACUCACUUUUUUUUUUCUAUGUGUAUGUAUUCUUGAUCUAAUGCUCUGAUGCCCACAAUGGUCUGGGUUUCCAGUUUGUACAUGUUGGCUGCCCCCUCCGCUGACCACCUUCUGAUCCUAUCACUAUACCACAUAGAUUUUUGAAGAUGGUAUACAUAUGGGAGAGACAUAAAAACAUUUGAAAAAUAAGGAACAUUUAAAAUAAGUGCUCAUUAUUCAAAUGUAGCUAGAUUAUAGAAGAUUCUUACAUUCUAUUUCAAAUAGAAGGUAUUUAGUGACUCUUCAGCAAUGUGAGAAGCUGAGUUGAAAUUCUUACAUUAUCAGGAAAUGGGCUAUCAUUUAAUUAUUAUGAAAUAUCCAUAUUUUAUGUCAGGUGUUCUUAUUUCAUUGUGUCUAAAUUUCAGUUUUUUUAAAUUACUUCAAAUUUUAUUAGGAUAAAUAAUCUGGAUUGUUUCACUGAUUUCCAAACCUGUUGGUACAAUGAAUCAGCAGUUCCACUUGGAAAGAUAACCAUUUUUAAGUUGAAUGAGAAUGACAUCACAUUCACACCUGCAAAACCUGAAAUGUCUAAUAAAGUAGACUCCUAUGUCUGAACUUCAGUUUUAGGGCACAGCUGUAGAUGCAGGACUGAUGCCAUCUGGUGCAGUUCCACAGAAUAAGAGAGAAAAUUCACCCAGAGUGUGCCAUGCACUGGCUUUUCUGGGAAUGACAAGUUGCCAGGAUUUGUUUUUGGUUCACUUGCAGGGGUGGAAACUUGGAACUAGGUGAGUUGUUUUACAUGCAAUAUCCCCGUUUAUAGCUUGACAUUUCAUAUUUCCAAUUUUGUUUAUCCUUUCAAAAUAAGUGCAAAAGAGCUCAAUUUUUUAAUGGACCCAUAUUUUAACAUUAUAUAUAAUUAACCAUUUAGGAUAGUGGUAAAUGUUUACUUUUUCAAACGCAUACCUACUCAUCUAGGGAUGUUUAGAAUACUAAUGGUACUAGUGCAUUACAUAGAAUGUAUUUACAGAGUACUAUGCUUUGGUUUUAAUUUUGAUAGCUACUCUGGGGCAGCUUUGCCUCGUUUAGCUAAAACCACAAUUAAAACUCUAGGAUUAUUAGGAAAUCACUGUCAGGAGUCGUGUCACUAACAAGGGGAUGUUAAAGAUUGAGUUGCAGAUCUUUGAAGUUGAUUUUUGUUGUUUGUUUAUUGUUUGUUUUUGUUUUGUUUUGGAUCAGUGAAAUAAAUUAUCAACUCUACAUUUCUUAUUUUGUCCACACAAAAUAAAGCCACAGAUUAAAUAAUAAUCUGAUUAAUUAUCCAAGUAGUUAGCAUCUUAUCACAAAAGAAUUUGGGUUAUCAGUAGGGCCAACCUGUGUUUAGAACAGUAGUCAGAAUAUAAUACACACUCAGAAAAAACUUCCUGGUGAAUUCUGCUAAAAAUCCUCUUGUUUUCCUUAAUAGCAGCAUUUUAUGUAAUAAACUAAUCAUUUCUUCCACUGUUGUGCUGUGUAGAUGUGGGUAGGUUGAAGUUAAAAUUUAAAAAAAAAUUUUUUUUAGUGUUUAUUUUUGAGAGAGACAAAGAUAGAGCACACAUGGGCAAGGGGCAAAAAGAAAGGGAGACGGAGAAUGGAAAGCAGGCUCUGUGCCAUCAGUGCAAAGCACAAUACAGGCUGGAACCCGCAAACCAUGAGAUCAUGACCUGAGCCAAAGUCAGAUGCUCAACCCACUGAGCCAUCCAGACACCCUAAAGUUAAAAUUUUUGUACUUAAAUUUUGUUUUUUUAUUAUGACUCUAUGAAGUUACAUGAACUUUGUUGAAUAUGUAUAUAUAUAGUUUUUUGAAUAUAUAUGUGUAUAUAUAUGUAUAUAUAUAGUUUGUUGAAUAUAUAUAUGUGUGUGUGUGUAUAUAUAUAUAGUUUCUUCUGGCAUUUUUUUUUAAUUAAAAAUAUUUGUUUAAUGUUUGUUUAUUUUUGAGAGAGAGAGCAUGAGCAGAGAAGGGGCAGAGAGAGGGAGGGAGACACAGAAUCUGAAGCAGGCUCAAGGUUCUGAGCUGUCAGGACACAGCCUAAAGUGGGGCUUGAACUCACAAACCCAGAGCAUGACCUGAGCCGAAGUCAGACACUUAAUGGACUGAGCCACCAAGGUACCUCUUGUUUUUUGUUUGUUUUAGUUUUUGUUUUGUUUUGUUUUGUUUACAUUAAGAUGGAAAUCUUUCUUUCCUAUUGGGAAUCAAGAUGGAUUGCUGUCUCAGUAAUGGAGUAGGAAGUUAUUGGACUCAAUGGUAGCUUAAACAAAGUAGAGGUUUUGUUUCCUUCUCAGGUGACAAGGAGAUUGGCGUUAAACUAUCUUGUGUUGGUUCAGCAGCUCACAAGAUGGUUGCUGCAGCUCCCCCAAGAAGAUGAAGGAAGCUGAAAGAGAAAACGGGGCACACCAUUUUGAGUCGGCUUCCUUUUGAAGAGCUUUCUCAGCAGCCCAGCAACUUUCACUUCCAUCUCAUUGGCCAGACUGUGUCAUAUCUGCAAGGUUGCAUGAUAAAUGUAGUUUUGUAGUUGGACAUAUUAACAGCUUUCAACAAAAAAAUCUAAGGAAAUCUAAGGGAAACAAUGAUGGUGGAUCUUUGGGAAACAAAGUAGCAGUCUGUGCUCUGGCUACAAAA